AGCGGCAGGCUUAACACAUGCAAGUCGAGGGGCAGCACGGGUAGCAAUACCUGGUGGCGACCGGCGCAAGGGUGCGUAACGCGUGAGCAACAUGCCCUAUACAGGGGGAUAAUCCAGGGAAACUUGGUCUAAUAUCCCAUAGUAUUUAGAGGAGGCAUCUUCUAUAAAUUAAAGCUUCGGUGGUAUAGGAUUGGCUCGCGUGACAUUAGCUAGAUGGUGAGGUAACGGCUCACCAUGGCAAUGAUGUCUAGGGGUUCUGAGAGGAAGGCCCCCACACUGGGACUGAGACACGGCCCAGACUCCUACGGGAGGCAGCAGUGAGGAAUAUUGGACAAUGGAUGGAAAUCUGAUCCAGCCAUGCCGCGUGCAGGAAGACAGCCCUAUGGGUUGUAAACUGCUUUUAUAUGGGAGCAAUAAGGUCUACGUGUAGACUGAUGAGAGUACCAUAUGAAUAAGCAUCGGCUAACUCCGUG
This 473-nucleotide ribosomal RNA is filed under the name uncultured bacterium. RNAcentral's name for it is "bacterial SSU rRNA". It matches the Rfam family "Bacterial small subunit ribosomal RNA", at positions 39 to 507 of the family's 1533-position model. The record is from RNAcentral.